RNAcentral lists this ribosomal RNA (468 nucleotides) under uncultured bacterium. RNAcentral describes it as "partial 16S ribosomal RNA". It matches the Rfam family "Bacterial small subunit ribosomal RNA", at positions 28 to 507 of the family's 1533-position model. The record is from RNAcentral.
GACGAACGCUGGCGGCGUGCUUAACACAUGCAAGUCGAACGGAAAGGCCCUGCUUUUGUGGGGUGCUCGAGUGGCGAACGGGUGAGUAACACGUGAGUAACCUGCCCUUGACUUUGGGAUAACUUCAGGAAGCUGGGGCUAAUACCGGAUAGGAGCUCCUGCUGCAUGGUGGGGGUUGGAAAGUUUCGGCGGUUGGGGAUGGACUCGCGGCUUAUCAGCUUGUUGGUGGGGUAGUGGCUUACCAAGGCUUUGACGGGUAGCCGGCCUGAGAGGGUGACCGGCCACAUUGGGACUGAGAUACGGCCCAGACUCCUACGGGAGGCAGCAGUGGGGAAUAUUGCACAAUGGGCGGAAGCCUUAUGCAGCAACGCCGCGUGCGGGAUGACGGCCUUCGGGUUGUAAACCGCUUUCGCCUGUGACGAAGCGUGAGUGACGGUAAUGGGUAAAGAAGCACCGGCUAACUACGUG